UCAGCCUGUGAUGAGGACAGCUCCCACUCAUGUUCGAGUUUCCCAACCAUGAGAUGACUCCACAUGCACUACCAUCUGAGGCUGG
This is a small nucleolar RNA of Peromyscus maniculatus bairdii (prairie deer mouse), 85 nucleotides long. The record is from Ensembl. NCBI's taxonomy places the organism in Eukaryota, Metazoa, Chordata, Mammalia, Rodentia, Cricetidae.